UGGGGAAUAUUGGACAAUGGGCGCAAGCCUGAUCCAGCCAUGCCGCGUGGAUGAUGAAGGCCCUAGGGUUGUAAAGUCCUUUCGACGGGGAAGAUAAUGACGGUACCCGUAGAAGAAGCCCCGGCUAACUUCGUGCCAGCAGCCGCGGUAAUACGAAGGGGGCUAGCGUUGCUCGGAAUCACUGGGCGUAAAGCGCACGUAGGCGGACUCUUAAGUCGGUGGUGAAAUCCUGGAGCUCAACUCCAGAACUGCCUUCGAUACUGAGAGUCUCGAGUCCGAGAGAGGUGAGUGGAACUGCGAGUGUAGAGGUGAAAUUCGUAGAUAUUCGCAAGAACACCAGUGGCGAAGGCGGCUCACUGGCUCGGUACUGACGCUGAGGUGCGAAAGCGUGGGGAGCAAACAGGAUUAGAUACCCCUGUAGUCCCUGAGCGGGCUGGCAAGGCGCAU
This 447-nucleotide ribosomal RNA is filed under the name uncultured bacterium. RNAcentral's name for it is "bacterial SSU rRNA". It matches the Rfam family "Bacterial small subunit ribosomal RNA", at positions 355 to 825 of the family's 1533-position model. The record is from RNAcentral.